AGUGAACGCUGGCGGCGUGCCUAAUACAUGCAAGUCGAACGAUGAAGCUCUAGCUUGCUAGAGUGGAUUAGUGGCGCACGGGUGAGUAAUGCAUAGAUAACAUGCCCUUUAGUCUAGGAUAGCCAUUGGAAACGAUGAUUAAUACUGGAUACUCCUUACGAGGGAAAGUUUUUCGCUAAAGGAUUGGUCUAUGUCCUAUCAGCUUGUUGGUGAGGUAAUGGCUCACCAAGGCUAUGACGGGUAUCCGGCCUGAGAGGGUGAACGGACACACUGGAACUGAGACACGGUCCAGACUCCUACGGGAGGCAGCAGUAGGGAAUAUUGCUCAAUGGGGGAAACCCUGAAGCAGCAACGCCGCGUGGAGGAUGAAGGUUUUCGGAUUGUAAACUCCUUUUGUUAGAGAAGAUAAUGACGGUAUCUAACGAAUAAGCACCGGCUAACUCCGUGCCAGCAGCCGCGGUAAUACGGAGGGUGCAAGCGUUACUCGGAAUCACUGGGCGUAAAGAGCGCGUAGGCGGGAUAGCAAGUCAGAUGUGAAAUCCUAUGGCUUAACCAUAGAACUGCAUUUGAAACUGUUAUUCUAGAGUAUGGGAGAGGUAGGUGGAAUUCUUGGUGUAGGGGUAAAAUCCGUAGAGAUCAAGAGGAAUACUCAUUGCGAAGGCGACCUGCUAGAACAUAACUGACGCUGAUGCGCGAAAGCGUGGGGAGCAAACAGGAUUAGAUACCCUGGUAGUCCACGCCCUAAACGAUGAAUGCUAGUUGUUGUGGAGCUUGUCUCUGCAGUAAUGCAGCUAACGCAUUAAGCAUUCCGCCUGGGGAGUACGGUCGCAAGAUUAAAACUCAAAGGAAUAGACGGGGACCCGCACAAGCGGUGGAGCAUGUGGUUUAAUUCGAAGAUACACGAAGAACCUUACCUAGGCUUGACAUUGAUAGAAUCCGCUAGAGAUAGUGGAGUGCUAGCUUGCUAGAACUUGAAAACAGGUGCUGCACGGCUGUCGUCAGCUCGUGUCGUGAGAUGUUGGGUUAAGUCCCGCAACGAGCGCAACCCUCGUCCUUAGUUGCUAACUAUUCGGUAGAGCACUCUAAGGAGACUGCCUUCGCAAGGAGGAGGAAGGUGAGGAUGACGUCAAGUCAUCAUGGCCCUUACGCCUAGGGCUACACACGUGCUACAAUGGGAAGCACAAAGAGAUGCAAUAUUGUGAAAUGGAGCAAAUCUAUAAAACUUCUCUCAGUUCGGAUUGUAGUCUGCAACUCGACUACAUGAAGCUGGAAUCGCUAGUAAUCGUAAAUCAGCUAUGUUACGGUGAAUACGUUCCCGGGUCUUGUACUCACCGCCCGUCACACCAUGGGAGUUGUAUUCGCCUUAAGUCGGAAUGCCAAACUGGCUACCGCCCACGGCGGAUGCAGCGACUGGGGUG
Molecule: ribosomal RNA, 1418 nt
Filed under: Helicobacter ganmani
Lineage: Bacteria; Pseudomonadati; Campylobacterota; Epsilonproteobacteria; Campylobacterales; Helicobacteraceae
Description: 16S ribosomal RNA
Rfam family: Bacterial small subunit ribosomal RNA
Source: RNAcentral